RNAcentral lists this ribosomal RNA (652 nucleotides) under uncultured Vibrionaceae bacterium. RNAcentral describes it as "bacterial SSU rRNA". It matches the Rfam family "Bacterial small subunit ribosomal RNA", at positions 28 to 671 of the family's 1533-position model. The record is from RNAcentral. Lineage: Bacteria; Pseudomonadati; Pseudomonadota; Gammaproteobacteria; Vibrionales; Vibrionaceae.
AUUGAACGCUGGCGGCAGGCCUAACACAUGCAAGUCGAGCGGAAACGAGAAUAGCUUGCUAUUCGGCGACGAGCGGCGGACGGGUGAGUAAUGCCUGGGAAAUUGCCCUGAUGUGGGGGAUAACCAUUGGAAACGAUGGCUAAUACCGCAUAAUAGCUUCGGCUUAAAGAGGGGGACCUUCGGGCCUCUCGCUUCAGGAUAUGCCCAGGUGGGAUUAGCUAGUUGGUGAGGUAAAGGCUCACCAAGGCGACGAUCCCUAGCUGGUCUGAGAGGAUGAUCAGCCACACUGGAACUGAGACACGGUCCAGACUCCUACGGGAGGCAGCAGUGGGGAAUAUUGCACAAUGGGCGCAAGCCUGAUGCAGCCAUGCCGCGUGUAUGAAGAAGGCCUUCGGGUUGUAAAGUACUUUCAGCAGUGAGGAAGGGUGUGUAGUUAAUAGCUGCAUACUUUGACGUUAGCUGCAGAAGAAGCACCGGCUAACUCCGUGCCAGCAGCCGCGGUAAUACGGAGGGUGCGAGCGUUAAUCGGAAUUACUGGGCGUAAAGCGCAUGCAGGUGGUUUGUUAAGUCAGAUGUGAAAGCCCGGGGCUCAACCUCGGAACCGCAUUUGAAACUGGCAGGCUAGAGUACUGUAGAGGGGGGUAGAAUUUCA